CGUGCGCUGUUACGAUGUUUAAUCUCGGUACCAGGGUCUUUGAGGUUUUCGCCAACGAACUCUGGUAGAUGUAGGAAUCGUUUUUGAAGACGACUCGCCGAAAAAGCUUUGAGUGCAUGGAGCAAAUUUUCAACGAGACGAAAGAAGGAUGAAAUGAAGCACCUAUAGGAACUGAAGAAUAAUAUGAAGAACUGAAUCAAACGAAUGUGAAGAAUUUAAUACGUCCUUCGAAGUCGUUCUUGAAGUUGGGGAAAUUUUGGUGUUAUGGCGGCCCCCGGAUAGAAAACAGCAACCAAUGAAAAGGGCUCAAGUUUGACUGACAGGUCGAGCUUCUCUUUAGGCUCCUCUUAACGGCAGGACUCCGAUAUAACACACGGCACUGGAUAUGCCAUCCCCAGAUGGCGCUUGUAAACGCUUUCUUUUGCGGGCGGGUAGAUAUUCCAGGAGGAGGAUGAUAAGAUAAGGGGGUGUAUUUUAGACAUUGAGAGCUCUGCUGUGAUUAACGUAUUAUAGUAUCUAUUUUGAAUACUAUUCAGCAAUAUAGAUUGUAUUGAUUAUUUUUAAUAAUCUUAUUAUUAUUCGUGUAUUGUGCGUAGUAUUAAAGAAUGGUAGUGUUA
Long non-coding RNA from Ornithodoros turicata, 617 nucleotides. RefSeq lists it as uncharacterized. The transcript has 3 exons. The record is from RefSeq and is a predicted model, not a curated record. Lineage: Eukaryota; Metazoa; Arthropoda; Arachnida; Ixodida; Argasidae.